UACAGAGGGGGCAAGCGUUGUUCGGAAUUACUGGGCGUAAAGGGCGCGUAGGCGGCCUCUUAAGUCGAACGUGAAAUCCCCGGGCUUAACCCGGGAACUGCGUCCGAUACUGGGAGGCUUGAAUUCGGGAGAGGGAUGCGGAAUUCCAGGUGUAGCGGUGAAAUGCGUAGAUAUCUGGAGGAACACCGGUGGCGAAGGCGGCAUCCUGGACCGAGAUUGACGCUGAUGCGCGAAAGCCAGGGGAGCAAACGGG
RNAcentral lists this ribosomal RNA (253 nucleotides) under uncultured bacterium. RNAcentral's name for it is "partial 16S ribosomal RNA". It matches the Rfam family "Bacterial small subunit ribosomal RNA", at positions 524 to 776 of the family's 1533-position model. The record is from RNAcentral.